RNAcentral lists this small nucleolar RNA (121 nucleotides) under Nannospalax galili (Upper Galilee mountains blind mole rat). RNAcentral describes it as "Small nucleolar RNA SNORA3/SNORA45 family (ENSNGAG00000009286.1)". Lineage: Eukaryota; Metazoa; Chordata; Mammalia; Rodentia; Spalacidae. The record is from RNAcentral.
GUAGAGACUAGAAUCACACCCUUACAUGGCACCUAGUGUGCUUGAGUUCUCAGAGAUAACCUGCUGGUCUUGAUUCUCUGGUGGGUGCGGUCAGUGCCCUAUUGGGGUCCUAAAAGCUUAC